GUGGGGAAUAUUGGACAAUGGGGGGAACCCUGAUCCAGCCAUGCCGCGUGGAGGAUGAAGGUCCUCUGGAUUGUAAACUUCUUUUAUAUGGGACGAAAAUGGGGCUUUCUAGCUCAACUGACGGUACCAUAUGAAUAAGCACCCGCUAACUCCGUGCCAGCAGCCGCGGUAAUACGGAGGGUGCAAGCGUUAUCCGGAUUCACUGGGUUUAAAGGGUGCGUAGGUGGAUUGGUAAGUCAGAGGUGAAAUCUCCGGGCUCAACUCGGAAACUGCCUUUGAUACUAUCAAUCUUGAAUAUUGUGGAGGUUAGCGGAAUAUGUCAUGUAGCGGUGAAAUGCUUAGAUAUGACAUAGAACACCAAUUGCGAAGGCAGCUGGCUACACAUAUAUUGACACUGAGGCACGAAAGCGUGGGGAUCAAACAGGAUUAGAAACCCUGGUAGUCC
Molecule: ribosomal RNA, 445 nt
Filed under: uncultured bacterium
Lineage: Bacteria
Description: partial 16S ribosomal RNA
Rfam family: Bacterial small subunit ribosomal RNA
Source: RNAcentral